This 266-nucleotide ribosomal RNA is filed under the name uncultured bacterium. RNAcentral describes it as "partial 16S ribosomal RNA". It matches the Rfam family "Bacterial small subunit ribosomal RNA", at positions 793 to 1055 of the family's 1533-position model. The record is from RNAcentral.
GUCCACGCCCUAAACGAUGUCAACUGGUUGUUGGAUGGGUUUACCAUUCAGUAACGAAGCUAACGCGUGAAGUUGACCGCCUGGGGAGUACGGUCGCAAGAUUAAAACUCAAAGGAAUUGACGGGGACCCCGCACAAGCGGUGGAUGAUGUGGUUUAAUUCGAUGCAACGCGAAAAACCUUACCUACCCUUGACAUGUCCAGAAUCCUGCUGAAAGGUGGGAGUGCUCGAAAGAGAAUUGGAACACAGGUGCUGCAUGGCUGUCGU